CCCUUAGAUGUUCUGGGCUGCACGCGCGCUACACUGACAUGUCCAGCGAGCUCCCAACCUGCUCGGCAAAGAAUGGGUACCCUUUUUAACGCAUGUCGUGAUGGGGAUAGAUUAUUGCAAUUGUUGAUCUUGAACGAGGAAUUCCUAGUAAGUGCAAGUCAUUAGCUUGUGCUGAAUACGUCCCUGCCCUUUGUACACACCGCCCGUCGCUCCUACCGAUUGGGUGAGCCGAUGAAACUCUCGGAUGUAGGCUAUUCAUAGCCCGCAGAAGAGAUUUGAAUCGUAGCGCUUAGAGGAAGGAGAAGUCGUAACA
Molecule: ribosomal RNA, 313 nt
Filed under: uncultured eukaryote
Lineage: Eukaryota
Description: partial 18S ribosomal RNA
Rfam family: Eukaryotic small subunit ribosomal RNA
Source: RNAcentral